RNAcentral lists this ribosomal RNA (464 nucleotides) under uncultured bacterium. Its description in RNAcentral is "partial 16S ribosomal RNA". It matches the Rfam family "Bacterial small subunit ribosomal RNA", at positions 28 to 507 of the family's 1533-position model. The record is from RNAcentral.
GACGAACGCUGGCGGCGUGCUUAACACAUGCAAGUCGAACGGUAAGGCCCCAGCUUGCUGGGGUACACGAGCGGCGAACGGGUGAGUAACACGUGGGUGACCUGCCCCGCACUUCGGGAUAAGCCUGGGAAACUGGGUCUAAUACCGGAUAGGACCGCACCGUGAGGGUGUGGUGGAAAGUUUUUCGGUGUGGGAUGGGCCCGCGGCCUAUCAGCUUGUUGGUGGGGUAAUGGCCUACCAAGGCGGCGACGGGUAGCCGGCCUGAGAGGGUGGACGGCCACAUUGGGACUGAGACACGGCCCAGACUCCUACGGGAGGCAGCAGUGGGGAAUAUUGCACAAUGGGCGGAAGCCUGAUGCAGCGACGCCGCGUGGGGGAUGACGGCCUUCGGGUUGUAAACUCCUUUCACCAUCGACGAAGGUUUUCUGACGGUAGAUGGAGAAGAAGCACCGGCUAACUACGUG